Molecule: ribosomal RNA, 195 nt
Filed under: uncultured bacterium
Lineage: Bacteria
Description: partial 16S ribosomal RNA
Rfam family: Bacterial small subunit ribosomal RNA
Source: RNAcentral
ACGCUCGACACCUACAGGCAGCAGUGGGGAAUAUUGCACAAUGGGGGAAACCCUGAUGCAGCGACGCCGCGUGAGCGAAGAAGUAUUUCGGUAUGUAAAGCUCUAUCAGCAGGGAAGAAACUGACGGUACCUGGCUAAGAAGCACCGGCUAAAUACGAGCCAGCAGCCGCGGUAAUCUGAGCGGGCUGGCAAGGC